Long non-coding RNA from Ruditapes philippinarum (Manila clam), 737 nucleotides. RefSeq lists it as uncharacterized. NCBI's taxonomy places the organism in Eukaryota, Metazoa, Mollusca, Bivalvia, Venerida, Veneridae. The record is from RefSeq and is a predicted model, not a curated record. The transcript is spliced from 3 exons.
GAAUAUUUCAGUCACGGAAUGCGAAUCUGUGGAAGGUUUAAGUGAAUACUGCGAUCUUGGUUGUUGUUAUAUCAAAACAAUGAACCCUUGUUGUGUGGAAGAAAAGCAACCAGUAAAAACCCCACUGACUGGUUUUGUUAUAGGUGGAAUUGUCGUAAUGUGUAUCAUAUUGUUUCUUAUUGCUUAUGUCGUCUGUUUGGACAGAAAACUUUCAAAGACUCCUAGAAGAUUAACAGAUGGAGGAAACGGUGUUGGCUCACUUUCAGUAGUUUGUGAAAAUGCGUAACAAAAAAACUAACAUCAUGACUUCAUGAUUUUCUUAUUAAAGUCUUUAAGACCGAUCAGAUAAGUAAUACCUGAACAAUGCUUUACUAAUCAAUUUAUGAUUAAAUUAAAUAUGUUUUCAAAUUUCAGUUUGAAAUUUCAUUAUGAAAUGCUGUAAAAAUGCUUUUGCACGAUGCCAUGAUAUAAUACACAAGUUAUUCGUGUCAGUCUAAAUUUACCAGGAUUUACAAUAUGAAGUGCUAUAUACAACUGAUAGUGCAAAAGUAAAUUACUUUGGAAAUUAUAUAAUAUAAUAAUAUAAAGAAUGUAGUUUGAAUCAUAAUGUAUAUCAAUUAGAUUAAACAGGACUUAUACUGUUUUUUUCCUUUAAUUUAAAUUUUAUACGAGUAUGUACUCAUCAACAUGUAUUUCGAUAGAUAUAUGAAUACUAGUGUAUCACAAUUAGCUUCCUA